UACGGGGGGGGCAAGCGUUGUUCGGAAUUACUGGGCGUAAAGGGCUCGUAGGCGGCCAACUAAGUCGGAUGUGAAAUCCCCAGGCUCAACCUGGGAACUGCAUCCGAUACUGGAUGGCUUGAAUCCGGGAGAGGGAUGCAGAAUUCCAGGUGUAGCGGUGAAAUGCGUAGAUAUUAGGAAGAACACCAGUGGCGAAGGCGGCUCACUGGUCCGGUACUGACGCUGAGGUGCGAAAGCGUGGGGAGCAAACAGG
This 253-nucleotide ribosomal RNA is filed under the name uncultured bacterium. Its description in RNAcentral is "partial 16S ribosomal RNA". It matches the Rfam family "Bacterial small subunit ribosomal RNA", at positions 524 to 776 of the family's 1533-position model. The record is from RNAcentral.